AGGACGAACGCUGGCGGCGUGCUUAACACAUGCAAGUCGAGCGAGGUCCAACUGGUGGCAACACCAGGGAAGACCGAGCGGCGAACGGGUGAGUAACACGUGAGCAACCUGUCCCGAAGACCGGGAUAACACCGGGAAACCGGUGCUAAUACCGGAUGUCCCCACCAGAUCACAUGGUUCGGUGAGGAAAUGGAUUCCGCUUCGGGAGGGGCUCGCGGGCUAUCAGCUUGUUGGUGGGGUAACGGCUCACCAAGGCAUCGACGGGUAGCUGGUCUGAGAGGAUGAUCAGCCACACUGGGACUGAGACACGGCCCAGACUCCUACGGGAGGCAGCAGUGGGGAAUCUUGCACAAUGGGCGAAAGCCUGAUGCAGCAACGCCGCGUGCGGGAUGAAGGCCCUAGGGUUGUAAACCGCUUUCAGCAGGGAAGAAAUGACGGUACCUGUAGAAGAAGGUGCGGCCAACUACGUGCCAGCAGCCGC
RNAcentral lists this ribosomal RNA (481 nucleotides) under uncultured bacterium. Its description in RNAcentral is "SSU rRNA". It matches the Rfam family "Bacterial small subunit ribosomal RNA", at positions 26 to 518 of the family's 1533-position model. The record is from RNAcentral.